RNAcentral lists this ribosomal RNA (253 nucleotides) under uncultured bacterium. Its description in RNAcentral is "partial 16S ribosomal RNA". It matches the Rfam family "Bacterial small subunit ribosomal RNA", at positions 524 to 776 of the family's 1533-position model. The record is from RNAcentral.
UACGUAGGGGGCUAGCGUUGUCCGGAAUCAUUGGGCGUAAAGCGCGUGUAGGCGGCCCGGUAAGUCCGCUGUGAAAGUCGGGGGCUCAACCCUCGGAUGCCGGUGGAUACUGUCGGGCUUGAGUACGGAAGAGGCGAGUGGAAUUCCUGGUGUAGCGGUGAAAUGCGCAGAUAUCAGGAGGAACACCAAUUGCGAAGGCAGCUCGCUGGGACGUUACUGACGCUGAGACGCGAAAGCGUGGGGAGCAAACAGG